RNAcentral lists this ribosomal RNA (250 nucleotides) under uncultured prokaryote. Its description in RNAcentral is "partial 16S ribosomal RNA". It matches the Rfam family "Bacterial small subunit ribosomal RNA", at positions 524 to 773 of the family's 1533-position model. The record is from RNAcentral.
UACGUAUGGGGCAAGCGUUAUCCGGAUUUACUGGGUGUAAAGGGUGCGUAGGUGGCAAGGCAAGUCAGAAGUGAAAGCUCGGGGCUCAACCUCGGAACUGCUUUUGAAACUGCCAGGCUAGAGUGCAGGAGAGGUAAGUGGAAUUCCUAGUGUAGCGGUGAAAUGCGUAGAUAUUAGGAGGAACACCAGCGGCGAAGGCGGCUUACUGGACUGUAACUGACACUGAGGCACGAAAGCGUGGGGAGCAAAC